GAUGAACGCUGGCGGCGUGCCUAAUACAUGCAAGUCGAGCGAACAGACGAGGAGCUUGCUCCUCUGAUGUUAGCGGCGGACGGGUGAGUAACACGUGGAUAACCUACCUAUAAGACUGGGAUAACUUCGGGAAACCGGAGCUAAUACCGGAUAACAUGUUGAACCGCAUGGUUCAACAGUGAAAGACGGUCUUGCUGUCACUUAUAGAUGGAUCCGCGCCGCAUUAGCUAGUUGGUAAGGUAACGGCUUACCAAGGCAGCGAUGCGUAGCCGACCUGAGAGGGUGAUCGGCCACACUGGAACUGAGACACGGUCCAGACUCCUACGGGAGGCAGCAGUAGGGAAUCUUCCGCAAUGGGCGAAAGCCUGACGGAGCAACGCCGCGUGAGUGAAGAAGGUCUUCGGAUCGUAAAACACUGUUAUUAGGGAAGAACAAAUGUGUAAGUAACUAUGCACGUCUUGACGGUACCUAAUCAGAAAGCCACGGCUAACUACGUG
RNAcentral lists this ribosomal RNA (497 nucleotides) under uncultured bacterium. RNAcentral describes it as "partial 16S ribosomal RNA". It matches the Rfam family "Bacterial small subunit ribosomal RNA", at positions 28 to 507 of the family's 1533-position model. The record is from RNAcentral.